GACGAACGCUGGCGGCGUGCUUAACACAUGCAAGUCGAACGGAAAGGCCCUGCUUUUGUGGGGUGCUCGAGUGGCGAACGGGUGAGUAACACGUGAGUAACCUGCCCUUGACUUUGGGAUAACUUCAGGAAACUGGGGCUAAUACCGGAUAGGAGCUCCUGCUGCAUGGUGGGGGUUGGAAAGUUUCGGCGGUUGGGGAUGGACUCGCGGCUUAUCAGCUUGUUGGUGGGGUAGUGGCUUACCAAGGCUUUGACGGGUAGCCGGGCGGAGGGGGUGGCCGGCCACAGGGGGGCGGGGAGACGCCCCAGCCUCCUGCGGGAGGCAGCGGUGGGGAUUAUUGCACGGGGGGCGGACGCCUGAUGCAACACCGCGGGGUGGGGGAUGGCGUCCUGCGUGUUGUACACCGCUUGCGCCUGUGACGAAGGGGGUGACACUGUAAGGGGUAAAGACACCCCGUCAAACCACG
RNAcentral lists this ribosomal RNA (466 nucleotides) under uncultured bacterium. RNAcentral's name for it is "partial 16S ribosomal RNA". It matches the Rfam family "Bacterial small subunit ribosomal RNA", at positions 28 to 505 of the family's 1533-position model. The record is from RNAcentral.